Molecule: transfer RNA, 70 nt
Filed under: Camelus bactrianus (Bactrian camel)
Lineage: Eukaryota; Metazoa; Chordata; Mammalia; Artiodactyla; Camelidae
Also listed under: 2 other names
Rfam family: tRNA
About the family: Transfer RNA (tRNA) molecules are approximately 80 nucleotides in length. Their secondary structure includes four short double-helical elements and three loops (D, anti-codon, and T loops).
Source: Rfam by way of RNAcentral
GGGCAUAGCUCAGUGGUAGAGCGUGUGCUUAGCAUGUAUGAGGUCCUGGGUUCAAUCCCCAGUACCUCCA